AUCGGGAAGCUCAGUCUGGCGGAGCAGCCGGCUCUUAACCGGCAGGUCGAGGGUUCGAAUCCCUCCGGGCCCGCUA
Molecule: transfer RNA, 76 nt
Filed under: Hadesarchaea archaeon
Lineage: Archaea; Methanobacteriati; Hadarchaeota (SeqCode); Hadarchaeia (SeqCode)
Description: tRNA-Lys
Rfam family: tRNA (bases 6-66)
About the family: Transfer RNA (tRNA) molecules are approximately 80 nucleotides in length. Their secondary structure includes four short double-helical elements and three loops (D, anti-codon, and T loops).
Source: RNAcentral